GGGACCGUAGCAUAGGCUGGUUAAUGCGACGCUCUGAUAAGGCGUAGAUCGCGCGUUCAAAUCGCGUCGGUCCCACCA
This 78-nucleotide transfer RNA is filed under the name Candidatus Thorarchaeota archaeon. RNAcentral's name for it is "tRNA-Ile". It matches the Rfam family "tRNA". From Rfam's summary of the family: Transfer RNA (tRNA) molecules are approximately 80 nucleotides in length. Their secondary structure includes four short double-helical elements and three loops (D, anti-codon, and T loops). The record is from RNAcentral. Lineage: Archaea; Promethearchaeati; Candidatus Thorarchaeota.